Molecule: ribosomal RNA, 391 nt
Filed under: uncultured eukaryote
Lineage: Eukaryota
Description: partial 18S ribosomal RNA
Rfam family: Eukaryotic small subunit ribosomal RNA
Source: RNAcentral
CAAUAGCGUAUAUUAAAGUUGUUGCAGUUAAAAAGCUCGUAGUUGGAUUUCUGUGAGAGUGCCGGUGUCGGCUGAUGCUUGUACGCAGGCGCUCUUACAUCCUUCUGUUAACUGUUCUUGGCAUUUUAUUGCUGGUUCAGGGCUCAGAUAUUUUACCUUGAGAAAAUUAGAGUGUUUCAGGCAGGCUUAUGCCGGAAUACAUUAGCAUGGAAUAAUGGAACAGGACCUGUGCGUCUCUCGGGGCGCCGGGCUCCGUUGUUGGUUUCGGGGACUAAUGUAAUGAUUAAUAGGGAUAGUUGGGGGCAUUAGUAUUUAAUAGUCAGAGGUGAAAUUCUCGGAUUUGUUAAAGACUAACUUAUGCGAAAGCAUUUGCCAAGGAUGUUUUCAUUAA